RNAcentral lists this long non-coding RNA (830 nucleotides) under Ananas comosus (pineapple). RNAcentral's name for it is "long non-coding RNA (ACOM_LNC019909)". Lineage: Eukaryota; Viridiplantae; Streptophyta; Magnoliopsida; Poales; Bromeliaceae. The record is from RNAcentral.
UAUACUACCACGGGGCCAUUAGGCGCGGCGCAAGCUGGACUACCUUGAGUAGAUCCCCGUGAAUGAAAGUAAAACUCUAUUGAUGUGAAAGUACUAAAUGACAAAGGACAGUAAUGAAUGCUUACUAGUUACAGUGUACAGUAGUACUUACACAUUUAUGCUUAUGUUCGUGCUUAUAGUAGUUGCCAUGCUUCUACCAUUCAGUUGAUUCAUUACUGUUGAGAUUAUGAUUACAUGUUGCUUACAUGUUCAUUAAUUGUUAGCAUUGAAAAUAUAUCAUGCAAAUUACUGCUUUUAUUUCCAUUUAGUACAUCAUGAGCCUAGUGGUGUAAUUCGCCGAGGCUGGCGGCUUACCCACUGGGAACUAUUGUUUAUAGUUCUCACGCCCUUUUGGAGGUUGUUUUUACAGAGCCUAGUACAGGAGAGGCUAGGGAUCGUGGCAAGGGAGUCGCGCCUAGCUAGGGACUACUAGGAGCGUGCUAGUCCAUCACCUUGCUACUCGGGCUACGGCCGAGGGUGAUGUCCCUAUGUAUAGAGAGACCACCGUUGUACCUAUUUAUUUUUGUAUACCCGUGAUGUAUAUUUACUGUUUGGACCAGAUACUAUAGUUGUGAUCUCUUCUCCUUUUUGCUGAGAUUUUGGAUUGUAUACUCUUUGUACCUAUACUGAUAGUAUAUCGACUUGUACUUUGCUCUGAUAUCAGGAUAGGAUUUUACUAUACUUUUCUCCUAUCGACUUGUGUUCUUGUAGACGCCUUAUAUACUGCAGGUGUAUGGCGGGUCUGUGCACGUGCCGGAUAUGCUUCCGCUGGUACCCGGGCGUGACAUUUA